Molecule: antisense RNA, 75 nt
Filed under: Allonocardiopsis opalescens
Lineage: Bacteria; Bacillati; Actinomycetota; Actinomycetes; Streptosporangiales
Description: ASpks TB sRNA
Rfam family: ASpks TB sRNA
Source: Rfam by way of RNAcentral
CUUCAGCGAGCCCAGGUACAGCGGUCGGCCCUCGGGGCGCUCCUGCCCGUAGGUGGCCAGGAGGGCCUGCGCCUC